AUAAUGGGUCAGCGACUUAUAUUCUGUAGCAAGGUUAACCGUAUAGGGGAGCCGAAGGGAAACCGAGUCUUAACCGGGCGUUAAGUUGCAGGGUAUAGACCCGAAACCCGGUGAUCUAGCCAUGGGCAGGUUGAAGGUUGGGUAACACUAACUGGAGGACCGAACCGACUAAUGUUGAAAAAUUAGCGGAUGACCUGUGGCUGGGGGUGAAAGGCCAAUCAAACCGGGAGAUAGCUGGUUCUCCCCGAAAGCUAUUUAGGUAGCGCCUCGUGAAUUCAUCUCCGGGGGUAGAGCACUGUUUCGGCUAGGGGGCCAUCCCGGCUUACCAACCCGAUGCAAACUGCGAAUACCGGAGAAUGUUAUCACGGGAGACACACGGCGGGUGCUAACGUCCGUCGUGAAGAGGGAAACAACCCAGACCGCCAGCUAAGGUCCCAAAGUCAUGGUUAAGUGGGAAACGAUGUGGGAAGGCCCAGACAGCCAGGAUGUUGGCUUAGAAGCAGCCAUCAUUUAAAGAAAGCGUAAUAGCUCACUGGUCGAGUCGGCCUGCGCGGAAGAUGUAACGGGGCUAAACCAU
Molecule: ribosomal RNA, 577 nt
Filed under: Salmonella enterica
Lineage: Bacteria; Pseudomonadati; Pseudomonadota; Gammaproteobacteria; Enterobacterales; Enterobacteriaceae
Description: partial 23S ribosomal RNA
Rfam family: Bacterial large subunit ribosomal RNA
Source: RNAcentral